Long non-coding RNA from Bombus terrestris (buff-tailed bumblebee), 1566 nucleotides. RefSeq lists it as uncharacterized. Lineage: Eukaryota; Metazoa; Arthropoda; Insecta; Hymenoptera; Apidae. The transcript has 2 exons. The record is from RefSeq and is a predicted model, not a curated record.
AAGAAGGUGAACUACUGGCGACUCCGUUGCUUGUUAUCGAUAAUGAAUCCGUAUGAUCAGCCCUUUGUGUCCGCACUUGUUUUUUGCAAAUUGGUGUAGAGGAACGGCUUAGAUUUGAUGUCUAAGAAAAUAGAACUAUGAGCACUAGUGCCAGCUUGUGAGACAAUAGAUAAUUUUCUUUGGCGUUUGUGAUUAUGUGUGUGAUUAUGGAUUCUUUGAGUGGUUACGACUGAGCAAGGACCUACUCCUUCUUGAGAGGCUAAGUGGCCCACUGCCAGGCUAAUCCCACUCUGAUUACCGCCACCUCCACUGGCCACCAGCUUUGGACAUAAACUUGACAGGCCACUUCCCCCUGAAGAUUGUUGUCUAUUUGUCUCAUACCUAAAACAUCAUUAAAUAUACAACAUAAUUAUUACACCAUAUUUCCUUUUCUUUUUGUUAAAUUCUUCUUUUAAAUAUUAUUUUCUUUGUUAAAAAAAGACAAAGUUUAAAUUUUACGUUUAAAGUAUGUAGAAAGCCUUUAUUUUGUAAUACAAAAUAUAAAUACAAACUAUAGCAGAAAGUAUGAUUACACCAAAUUAAAGUCAUAUUUGUCAUCAUGAAAUGUUUCAUGUAUUACAUUGCGUUUUAUGAAUAUGAUAAAAAUUGGAAAAUGUUACACACACACAUAUAUUUUGCAAUCAAAUACCUUUUAUUAUGUAACUAUGAAGAAUAGUAAAUCUAAAUUAAGAAAUUAAUGUUUAGCCUCAUCUGUACUAAAUGUACUCGUACAUACACACCAACUAUGAAAUCGUUAUAUUAUGUAAUAUUGAAAUGCUAUGAAUAAUGGUUUGAAGUACUACUUAAUCUUAAAGGAGGCAAAAGUAUGAAAAAUGUUUGAAAAAUAAAUUUAAGAUAUACACAAAUCUAUAAUAAUGAUAAAAAUCCAAAACAUAAAAAGCUAAAUCAAUAGUUGUUGAUAAAUUAUUAUUUUUUCUUGAACAUUUAAAUGAUAAUAAAUAAUAAUUGAAUAGUUCUAUGUUGCAGUAUGACAAUAAUGUAAAUCAUAUAAUUACUAACCUUUGAGUACUUAUAAAAUUUCAUACUUGAAGUUCAGGGUCAGUAAUUCUGAAAAUAUAUUGGGAUUUAUACUUUUCCUGAUGAAAUUUUCUAAUUUCAUGUGGAAAAAAUUUCUUGAUUAGAUUUUAUAGUACUUCAGCAUUCACUAAUUUUCCAAUUAAUUUUAGCACAUAAAAUGUUUUAAUUAAUAUAUUUUUCUAAAGUAAUGUUUCUUAAAGAUUGUAAUAAUUUCAAUAUGUACAUGUACAGUACAGAUGAGAUAUACAAAAGAUUCCUGUGCAUGUAUAGUUUUAAUAUUUAAUAUAUUAUUAUAGUUUGUUAUAUUCAAUAAUUCAAAAAUUCAAAGUUAGAGGUACACAAACACUCUGUUCCUUAGAGACAUGUUUCAGAUUAUGUAUUGUAAUAGAAUAAUUAUUUAGAAAACGGAAUCUGUAAAAUAAUAUAUUAAAGAACAAUCUUUAUAAAGUGCAUUCCAAAUUAAACAUAUACAUAUAUAUUGAACAUGUA